GAGGAAUAAGCAUCGGCUAACUCCGUGCCAGCAGCCGCGGUAAUACGGGGGAUGCAAGCGUUAUCCGGAAUCAUUGGGCGUAAAGCGCCUGUAGGUUGUUUGUUAAGUCUGUUGUUAAAGACUAGGGCUUAACCCUAGAAAAGCAAUGGAAACUAAUAGACUAGAGUAUGGCAGGGGUAGAGGGAAUUUCUAGUGUAGCGGUGAAGUGCGUAGAUAUUAGAAAGAACACCAGUGGCGAAAGCGCUCUACUAGACCAUUACUGACACUCAGAGGCGAAAGCUAGGGUAGCAAAAGGGAUUAGAUACCCCUGUAGUCCUAGCCGUAAACGAUGGAUACUAGAUGUUGUAAGUUUUUUACAGUAUCUUAGCUAACGCGUUAAGUAUCCCGCCUGGGGAGUACGCUCGCAAGGGUGAAACUCAAAGGAAUUGACGGGGGCCCGCACAAGCGGUGGAGCAUGUGGUUUAAUUCGAUGCAACGCGAAGAACCUUACCAGGGCUUGACAUACUACGAAUUCUUUUGAAAAAAAGAAGUGCCUUAGGGAACGUAGAUACAGGUGGUGCAUGGCUGUCGUCAGCUCGUGUCGUGAGAUGUUGGGUUAAGUCCCGCAACGAGCGCAACCCUUAUUUUUAGUUACCAAUUCGUUGGGUUCUCUAGAAAGACUGCCGGUGACAAACCGGAGGAAGGUGAGGAUGACGUCAAGUCAGCAUGCCCUUUAUGUCCUGGGCUACACACGUGCUACAAUGGCUAAGACAAAGGGUCGCAAGCUUGUGAAAGUUAGCUAAUCUCGUAAACUUAGCCUAAGUUCAGAUUGUAGGCUGCAACUCGCCUGCAUGAAG
RNAcentral lists this ribosomal RNA (836 nucleotides) under Haptophyta environmental samples. RNAcentral's name for it is "bacterial SSU rRNA". It matches the Rfam family "Bacterial small subunit ribosomal RNA", at positions 481 to 1325 of the family's 1533-position model. The record is from RNAcentral. Lineage: Eukaryota; Haptophyta.